RNAcentral lists this ribosomal RNA (404 nucleotides) under uncultured Bacillota bacterium. Its description in RNAcentral is "bacterial SSU rRNA". It matches the Rfam family "Bacterial small subunit ribosomal RNA", at positions 356 to 774 of the family's 1533-position model. The record is from RNAcentral. Lineage: Bacteria; Bacillati; Bacillota.
GGGGAAUAUUGGGCAAUGGGCGCAAGCCUGACCCAGCAACGCCGCGUGAGGGAAGAAGGCUUUCGGGUUGUAAACCUCUGUCGCAGGGGACGAAACAAAUGACGGUACCCUGUGAGGAAGCCCCGGCUAACUACGUGCCAGCAGCCGCGGUAAUACGUAGGGGGCGAGCGUUGUCCGGAAUUACUGGGCGUAAAGGGUGCGUAGGUGGCUAUUUAAGUUGGAUGUGAAAUACCCGGGCUUAACCUGGGGGGUGCAUCCAAUACUGGUUGACUAGAGUACAGGAGAGGAAAGCGGAAUUCCUAGUGUAGCGGUGAAAUGCAUAGAUAUUAGGAGGAACAUCGGUGGCGAAGGCGGCUUUCUGGACUGACACUGACGCUGAGGCUCGAAAGCGUGGGGAGCAAACA